AUUGAACGCUGGCGGCAGGCCUAACACAUGCAAGUCGAGCGGAUGAAGGGAGCUUGCUCCUGGAUUCAGCGGCGGACGGGUGAGUAAUGCCUAGGAAUCUGCCUGGUAGUGGGGGAUAACGUCCGGAAACGGGCGCUAAUACCGCAUACGUCCUGAGGGAGAAAGUGGGGGAUCUUCGGACCUCACGCUAUCAGAUGAGCCUAGGUCGGAUUAGCUAGUUGGUGGGGUAAAGGCCUACCAAGGCGACGAUCCGUAACUGGUCUGAGAGGUUGAUCAGUCACACUGGAACUGAGACACGGUCCAGACUCCUACGGGAGGCAGCAGUGGGGAAUAUUGGACAAUGGGCGAAAGCCUGAUCCAGCCAUGCCGCGUGUGUGAAGAAGGUCUUCGAAUUGUAAAGCACUUUAAGUUGGGAGGAAGGGCAGUAAGUUAAUACCUUGCUGUUUUGACGUUACCAACAGAAUAAGCACCGGCUAACUUCGUG
RNAcentral lists this ribosomal RNA (484 nucleotides) under uncultured bacterium. Its description in RNAcentral is "partial 16S ribosomal RNA". It matches the Rfam family "Bacterial small subunit ribosomal RNA", at positions 30 to 507 of the family's 1533-position model. The record is from RNAcentral.